CCGCUACAGGCAGACUUCGUCCGGACUCCUACGAGAGCCGGACCUCAUCCUCGACCUCGACCAUAGGUAGACUCUGUCCGGACUCCUACGGGAGCCGGACCUCAUCCCCAACUUUGAUUGCAGGUAGACUUCGACCAGACUCCUACGGGAGCCGGACCUCGUCCUCAACCUCGACUGCAAAUGGACUUCGUCCGGACUCCUACGGGAGCCGAACCUCAUCCUAAGCUCCAAUUGCUGGAAGGCUCCGUCCGGACUCCUACGGGAGCCAGACCUCAUCCUCGACCUCGACCACAGGUAGACUCUGUCCGGACUCCUAUGGAAGCUGGACCUCAUCCCCAACUUCGAUUGCAGGUAGACUUCGACCAGACUCCUACGGGAGCCAGAUCUUGUCUCCGACUCCCGCUAUAGGCAGACUUCGUCCGGACUCCUACGGGAGCUGGACCUCGUCCCCAACCUUAACUGCUGGAAGGCUCCGUCCGGACUCCUACGGGAGUCGGACCUCAUCCUCAACCUCGACUGCAGGCGGACUUCGUCCAGACUCCUACGGGAGCCGGACCUCAUCCUCAACCUCGACUGUAGAUGGACUUCGUCCGGACUCCUACGGGAGCCGAACCUCAUCCUCAGCUCCAACUGCUGGAAGGCUCCAUCCGGACUCCUACGAGAGUCGGACCUCAUCCUCGACCUGGACCAUAGGUAGACUCUGUCCAGACUUCUACGGGAGCCGGACCUCAUCCCCAACUUCGAUUGCAGGUAGACUUAGAUCGGACUCCUAUGGGAGCCGGACCUCGUCCUCAACCUCGACUGCAGACGGACUUCAUCUGGACUCCUACGGGAGCCGAACCUCAUCCUCAGCUCCAACUGCUGGAAGGCUCCGUCCAGACUCCUACGGGAGCCAGACCUCAUCCUCGACCUUGACCACAGGUAGACUCUGUCCGGACUCCUACGGGAGCCGGACCUCGUCCCCAACUUCGAUUGCAGGUAGACUUCGAUCGGACUCCUACGGGAGCCAGAUCUCGUCUCCGACUCCAGCUACAGGCAGACUUCGUCCGGACUCCUAUGGGAGCCGGACCUCGUCCCCAACAUUAACUGCUGUAAGGCUCCGUCCGGACUCCUACGGGAGCCGGACUCCGCCCUCGACUCCGAUCGCAGCCCGCCGGCAACAUCCGAGCUCCUUUCAAAUGGAUAGCCACUUCUCUCCGUCGGAUGCCUCAACCGAGCUUCGGCCGACAGGCCUGGACCCCCC
This 1243-nucleotide long non-coding RNA is filed under the name Elaeis guineensis (African oil palm). RNAcentral describes it as "long non-coding RNA (EGUI_LNC078857)". Lineage: Eukaryota; Viridiplantae; Streptophyta; Magnoliopsida; Arecales; Arecaceae. The record is from RNAcentral.